This 675-nucleotide ribosomal RNA is filed under the name uncultured prokaryote. Its description in RNAcentral is "bacterial SSU rRNA". It matches the Rfam family "Bacterial small subunit ribosomal RNA", at positions 28 to 692 of the family's 1533-position model. The record is from RNAcentral.
AUUGAACGCUGGCGGCAGGCCUAACACAUGCAAGUCGAGCGGCAGCGGAAAGUAGCUUGCUACUUUGCCGGCGAGCGGCGGACGGGUGAGUAAUGUCUGGGAAACUGCCUGAUGGAGGGGGAUAACUACUGGAAACGGUGGCUAAUACCGCAUAACGUCGCAAGACCAAAGUGGGGGACCUUCGGGCCUCACGCCAUCGGAUGUGCCCAGAUGGGAUUAGCUAGUAGGUGGGGUAAUGGCUCACCUAGGCGACGAUCCCUAGCUGGUCUGAGAGGAUGACCAGCCACACUGGAACUGAGACACGGUCCAGACUCCUACGGGAGGCAGCAGUGGGGAAUAUUGCACAAUGGGCGCAAGCCUGAUGCAGCCAUGCCGCGUGUGUGAAGAAGGCCUUCGGGUUGUAAAGCACUUUCAGCGAGGAGGAAGGCAUCACACUUAAUACGUGUGGUGAUUGACGUUACUCGCAGAAGAAGCACCGGCUAACUCCGUGCCAGCAGCCGCGGUAAUACGGAGGGUGCAAGCGUUAAUCGNAAUUACUGGGCGUAAAGCGCACGCAGGCGGUUUGUUAAGUCAGAUGUGAAAUCCCCGCGCUUAACGUGGGAACUGCAUUUGAAACUGGCAAGCUAGAGUCUUGUAGAGGGGGGUAGAAUUNCAGGUGUAGCGGUGAAAUGCGUA